Dalotia coriaria is the source of this 699-nucleotide long non-coding RNA. RefSeq lists it as uncharacterized. The transcript is spliced from 2 exons. The record is from RefSeq and is a predicted model, not a curated record. NCBI's taxonomy places the organism in Eukaryota, Metazoa, Arthropoda, Insecta, Coleoptera, Staphylinidae.
ACCAGGUACUCCCAGGCGUGUGCAACGUUAUUCAACGGCGUCUCAUGCGCGAAGGCGAAUUGAUCAACACAUUCUAUUUGUAAACAAUGAUUUCAUCGGCGGUGUCCUUGUCCUUCCCGAGAACGUGCGACGAGUGCGAGUAUGCAAGGAAUUCAUCGCUUGAAUUUCAUUACGGCGGACGCAAACACUCACUCAGUGUUCAAUUAAAUCCAUCAUGGCGGCGCUUGUUUUCGACGUAAUAUGGAAUUGGGACGCGUGCACAUCAAAGGCACAUGGUCCGUAUGUCAUGAUGACAGGUCAACCGAACUUCUUUCUCGCCUACCAACUAAGUACUCCUACUUUAUACGCUUUUUUUGAAUUGCUAGUAUGGGAGCAAUUUAUACAGCGUGUGGUGUGUUAUACAUAUUAAUCAUCCAAGGCACAAGGCGCAAGGCAGACUUAGCAAUAAAAUGAUUCCAGAUCUGCUGUGUGGUUAGCUGGCGUGGUACAGUUAUAUUACGCGUUAGGAUAUUUCGUCAUUAUUCUAUUGCUGUUGGACCUGUUGGACUGCGUGGGUGUGGUGCAAAUUUGGUAACUGUUGUUCGCUGCAUAUACUUAUAGCUUGUAUGAAAGCUUAAUCUACAAGAUAAAAUGUUUAUCAAAUUUAAUAUUGAACAAAUAAAGAUCUGCAACUUUUAAUUUGGAAAGUUGCUACAAAAC